AUUGAACGCUGGCGGCAUGCCUUACACAUGCAAGUCGAACGGCAGCGGGCCUUCGGGUGCCGGCGAGUGGCGAACGGGUGAGUAAUGCAUCGGAACGUGCCAUUGAGUGGGGGAUAACGUAGCGAAAGUUGCGCUAAUACCGCAUAUUCUGUGAGCAGGAAAGCAGGGGACCGCAAGGCCUUGCGCUCUUUGAGCGGCCGAUGUCAGAUUAGCUAGUUGGUGAGGUAACGGCUUACCAAGGCGACGAUCUGUAGCGGGUCUGAGAGGAUGAUCCGCCACACUGGAACUGAGACACGGUCCAGACUCCUACGGGAGGCAGCAGUGGGGAAUUUUGGACAAUGGGGGCAACCCUGAUCCAGCCAUGCCGCGUGAGUGAAGAAGGCCU
This 385-nucleotide ribosomal RNA is filed under the name uncultured bacterium. RNAcentral describes it as "bacterial SSU rRNA". It matches the Rfam family "Bacterial small subunit ribosomal RNA", at positions 30 to 417 of the family's 1533-position model. The record is from RNAcentral.